GAAAUGCGAUAAGUAAUGUGAAUUGCAGAAUUCAGUGAAUCAUCGAAUCUUUGAACGCACCUUGCGCUCCUUGGUAUUCCUUGGAGCAUGCCUGUUUGAGUAUCAUGAAAUCUUCAAAGUAAAUCUUUUGUUAACUCAAUUGGUUUCUACUUGGUAUUGGAGGUCUUUGCAGCUUCACACCUGCUCCUCUUUGUUCAUUAGCUGGAUCUCAGUGUUAUGCUUGGUUCCACUCGGCGUGAUAAGUUAUCUAUCGCUGAGGACACUGUAAAAGGUGGCCAAGGUAAAUGCAGAUGAACCGCUUCUAAUAGUCCAUUGACUUGGACAAUACUUUUAUGAUCUGAUCUCAAAUCAGGUAGGACUACCCGCUGAACUUAAGC
Molecule: unclassified non-coding RNA, 377 nt
Filed under: plant metagenome
Description: partial contains 5.8S ribosomal RNA, internal transcribed spacer 2, and large subunit ribosomal RNA
Rfam family: 5.8S ribosomal RNA (bases 1-105)
Source: RNAcentral